UUGCCCUCUUCCCUGCACUUGAAGUGUACUCAAGAGUGAAGGUUAUACUGCUAUCUCAGGGAGUGGGAGGCGACAAGGACUUUAGCCAGUGCAAACAGGAGUGACAAUAGAACCAUCACAUCUGGAUCAUCACAGGCCCUGGUGUGUGACAGGAGGAAGCAGAAAGAAAUUAGAGAGAAGAAAAACAGCGGGGAUGCUUUCACCCUUGAACUUCCAUCAAUGCCUGGGACCUUAUCACCCCUGCAAUAUCGUUCCACCCACAUAGCCCCUCUCUCCUACUGCUGAGUUCUUUUGGGGCCCUCCAUUUUGGAUGCAGACCUGGACCAGCCAUGCUUCAUUCACUUUCCAAAUGUGCUUCUGACUCUAACAAUAUGGUCUCUCCCCUCACAAUCCCACCUUGCACCACUCCC
Non-coding RNA from Phascolarctos cinereus (koala), 410 nucleotides. NCBI's taxonomy places the organism in Eukaryota, Metazoa, Chordata, Mammalia, Diprotodontia, Phascolarctidae. The record is from RefSeq and is a predicted model, not a curated record.